UUAAUGAUAUGACGUACUGUACUGAUUGAGAUUUUAACACGAAGUGAGUGGCGAACGGGUGAGUAACACGUGGGUAACUGCCCAGAAGUAGGGGAUAACACCUGGAAACAGAUGCUAAUACCGUAUAACAGAGAAAACCGCAUGGUUUUCUUUUAAAAGAUGGCUCUGCUAUCACUUCUGGAUGGACCCGCGGCGUAUUAGCUAGUUGGUGAGGUAAAGGCUCACCAAGGCAGUGAUACGUAGCCGACCUGAGAGGGUAAUCGGCCACAUUGGGACUGAGACACGGCCCAGACUCCUACGGGAGGCAGCAGUAGGGAAUCUUCCACAAUGGACGCAAGUCUGAUGGAGCAACGCCGCGUGAGUGAAGAAGGGUUUCGGCUCGUAAAGCUCUGUUGUUAAAGAAGAACGUGGGUAAGAGUAACUGUUUACCCAGUGACGGUAUUUAACCAGAAAGCCACGGCUAACUACGUGCCAGCAGCCGCGGUAAUACGUAGGUGGCAAGCGUUAUCCGGAUUUAUUGGGCGUAAAGCGAGCGCAGGCGGUCUUUUAAGUCUAAUGUGAAAGCCUUCGGCUCAACCGAAGAAGUGCAUUGGAAACUGGGAGACUUGAGUGCAGAAGAGGACAGUGGAACUCCAUGUGUAGCGGUGAAAUGCGUAGAUAUAUGGAAGAACACCAGUGGCGAAGGCGGCUGUCUGGUCUGCAACUGACGCUGAGGCUCGAAAGCAUGGGUAGCGAACAGGAUUAGAUACCCUGGUAGUCCAUGCCGUAAACGAUGAUUACUAAGUGUUGGAGGGUUUCCGCCCUUCAGUGCUGCAGCUAACGCAUUAAGUAAUCCGCCUGGGGAGUACGACCGCAAGGUUGAAACUCAAAAGAAUUGACGGGGGCCCGCACAAGCGGUGGAGCAUGUGGUUUAAUUCGAAGCUACGCGAAGAACCUUACCAGGUCUUGACAUCUUCUGACAGUCUAAGAGAUUAGAGGUUCCCUUCGGGGACAGAAUGACAGGUGGUGCAUGGUGUCGUCA
This 1021-nucleotide ribosomal RNA is filed under the name Pediococcus pentosaceus. RNAcentral describes it as "bacterial SSU rRNA". It matches the Rfam family "Bacterial small subunit ribosomal RNA", at positions 48 to 1057 of the family's 1533-position model. Lineage: Bacteria; Bacillati; Bacillota; Bacilli; Lactobacillales; Lactobacillaceae. The record is from RNAcentral.